GACGAACGCUGGCGGCGUGCUUAACACAUGCAAGUCGAACGGUGAAGCGCCUUCCUUUUUGGUGGGUGUGGAUGAGUGGCGAACGGGUGAGUAACACGUGAGUAACCUGCCCCCUUCUUCUGGAUAACCGCAUGAAAGUGUGGCUAAUACGGGAUAUUCUGGGUCUGUCGCAUGAUGGGUCUGGGAAAGAUAUUGUUUCGGUGGGGGAUGGGCUCGCGGCCUAUCAGCUUGUUGGUGGGGUGAUGGCCUGCGAAGGCGGUGACGGGUAGCCGGCCUGAGAGGGUGGACGGUCACACUGGGACUGAGACACGGCCCAGACUCCUACGGGAGGCAGCAGUGGGGAAUAUUGCACAAUGGGCGCAAGCCUGAUGCAGCGACGCCGCGUGAGGGAUGGAGGCCUUCGGGUUGUGAACCUCUUUCGCCAGUGAAGCAGGCCUGCCUCGUUUGUGGGUGGGUUGACGGUAGCUGGAUAAGAAGCGCCGGCUAACUACGUG
Molecule: ribosomal RNA, 494 nt
Filed under: uncultured bacterium
Lineage: Bacteria
Description: partial 16S ribosomal RNA
Rfam family: Bacterial small subunit ribosomal RNA
Source: RNAcentral